RNAcentral lists this ribosomal RNA (550 nucleotides) under Naganishia diffluens. RNAcentral describes it as "eukaryotic LSU rRNA". It matches the Rfam family "Eukaryotic large subunit ribosomal RNA", at positions 101 to 655 of the family's 3401-position model. The record is from RNAcentral. Lineage: Eukaryota; Fungi; Basidiomycota; Tremellomycetes; Filobasidiales; Filobasidiaceae.
GCAAGAGCUCAAAUUUGAAAUCUAGUAGCCUUCGGCUGCUCGAGUUGUAAUCUAGAGAAGUGUUUUCCGUGCCGGCCCAUGUACAAGUCCCUUGGAACAGGGCGUCAUAGAGGGUGAGAAUCCCGUCCUUGACAUGGACCCCCGGUGCUCUGUGAUACACUUUCAACGAGUCGAGUUGUUUGGGAAUGCAGCUCAAAAUGGGUGGUGAAUUCCAUCUAAAGCUAAAUAUUGGCGAGAGACCGAUAGCGAACAAGUACCGUGAGGGAAAGAUGAAAAGCACUUUGGAAAGAGAGUUAAACAGUACGUGAAAUUGUUGAAAGGGAAACGAUUGAAGUCAGUCAUGCUCUUUGGUAUUUAUAUCAUUGAGUGGGGUCAACAUCAGUUUUGAGCGAUGGAUAAAGGCACUAGGAAGGUAGCACUCUCGGGUGAACUUAUAGCCUAGCGUCAUAUACAUUGUUUGGGACUGAGGAACGCAGCAUGCCUUUAUGGCCGGGAUUCGUCCACGUACAUGCUUAGGAUGUUGACAUAAUGGCUUUAAACGACCCGUCUU